UUUCGAUGAUGACAAAUCUAAGGCUUGUUUCUCAAAACAUUCGCGGUGGCCGACUUAGAUCUUUCGCCUUCGCCAGGCUUGAGAGAUGGUGCUGCUUCAUUCCUUCCUUGGAUGUCUGAGAUA
This is a non-coding RNA of Camellia sinensis, 123 nucleotides long. The record is from RefSeq and is a predicted model, not a curated record. Lineage: Eukaryota; Viridiplantae; Streptophyta; Magnoliopsida; Ericales; Theaceae.